This 460-nucleotide ribosomal RNA is filed under the name uncultured bacterium. RNAcentral's name for it is "partial 16S ribosomal RNA". It matches the Rfam family "Bacterial small subunit ribosomal RNA", at positions 338 to 795 of the family's 1533-position model. The record is from RNAcentral.
CCUACGGGGUGCAGCAGUGAGGAAUAUUGGUCAAUGGGCGCGAGCCUGAACCAGCCAAGUCGCGUGAAUGAUGACUGCCCUACGGGUUGUAAACUUCUUUUAUAAAGGAAUAAAGUGAGGCACGUGUGCCUUUUUGUAUGGACUUUAUGAAUAAGGAUCGGCUAACUCCUUGCCAGCAGCCGCGGUAAUACGGAGGAUCCGAGCGUUAUCCGGAUUUAUUGGGUUUAAAGGUAGCGUAGAUGGGUUGUUAAGUUCGUUGUGAAAGGUUUCGGCUGAACCGGAAAAUUGCAAUUGAGACUGGCAGUCUUGAGUACAGUUGAGGUAGGCGGAAUUCGUGGUGUAGCGGUGAAAUGCUUAGAUAUAACGAAGAACUCCGAUUGCGAAGGCAGCUUACUAAACUGCCACUGACAUUGAUGCUCGAAAGUGUGGGUAUCAAACAGGAUUAGAUACCCUAGUAGUC